This is a long non-coding RNA of Struthio camelus australis, 1679 nucleotides long. Lineage: Eukaryota; Metazoa; Chordata; Aves; Struthioniformes; Struthionidae. The record is from Ensembl.
AGGACUGUUUGGCUGUGCAGAAGCUUUGGUUUAUUUAAUACACAAGAGCUUUUCUUUUUCUUCGCCAAUAAUGUUUUGAUCUUAGCUGGGAAUGAGAAGUGCUUCAUUUAUUACCACUGUUUGGCAGUGACAUAAAGGCAUCCAGUGUUUAGCAGGUCCUCUGAAUGUACUUCGCUUGGAAAGAAAGCUGAGCUUCUGCAUGUGUAAACAUCUGUCUUCAUUCCACACUGCCUGAAGAGCUGGAAAACAUGCAAUGCAUUGAGAAGUAUGUCUGGACAGCAGUGACGACACUAACUCUGACUGGAGAUCUCCCUGGUAACACUGGCCCAAGCCUGAGAGACAUGCUGCAACAUGCUGAAUGAUGACUUAAGAUGUAUAGGUGUUGCGAUGGCUUCCUCCUGCUUUGGGCACCCUCGGUCUUUCUGUGAUGCACGGGGGAAGUUUCUUACCUCAGAGCUGAGGACUUGAGAGACUCAUCCAAGCAAGAAGCUGCCUCAGUUUUGUGAUGAGCGAAGUACCCAAGGAGAGAAGCACUGACACAAGGAGAUCAGCACCCUGCGUAUGGGAUUCCCACAGCAGAGCUUGCUUGAGAAGGGAUUUGUAGCUGUUUGCAAGCUUCCCAGAAAAAAAAAAAACUUUAAAAACAUGAGCAGCAAAAGGCUGGUAAAAGUUGUAACCAGCUCUGAAUAUCGCCAAAGAAUAUCACCUGCUGAUGAUUUACAGACUCCUGGAGACGUGCUGUUGAGUCUCAAAGAACUGGAAAAAGAACAACUCACCCAAUGUGCUGCUUGGGAAACAGCGACAGGCCCAAGGGAGGUGCUGUUUGUUCCAGUGGAAACCAUACAGAAGAGUGGGUUCUUUCAUCCUGCAACACUGUGUGACUCUGCCUCUUCUGACUGCACUUACUCCGCGCAGUGGACUCACCUCCAUCGUCUCCUGGCCUCUCCUUUUCCUCCAGCUUGCCCAAUUUCAAGCCUGAAAUCUGUGCUUGCAGUCUGCAGCCUCUUGUGGCACUGGAGGGCUGAGUGCUUUAGGUAGACAGCACUCAGCCAUGCAAAGCAGCGCUCCCAACGAGGGCAUUGGAGGAGACUCAGCCCAGCAAAGCUGCUGGUGGAGCAGAACUCACUGCCACUGUUUUCCAUAUGUUCCUCCCUAUGGGGGCCUGACUGGACCUCGACCUGAGGAGGGAACAGAAUGGAAAUUUAAUAGAAAGGCGAGUCCCACCCCCAGGUAUACCAAGCGGCCAAACUCUUUUGUUCUAGUUUUUUCCGGAUUUAGCAUGUUUCUGUCAGUGGGAGGGUACUAAAGGCAGCACAUUCUUCCCUUGCUCUGCAUAAGUCCACAACAUCUCUUAGGGCUCAACCUUAAUUUGCAGCCCUUCAAAAGAACCUUCCCCCAUUUCCUCUCUUCCUUUUUUUCUUUUUUUUUUUUUUAAGUCAGUUCACAUUGAUUAAUCAUUUUAUAAAUGUUUAGGGCCAGGAUUGUGAAACCUUUGCUGGCAGCAUUUUUCCCCUGGAGUCAAGGAGACUACUCAUUAGCAUGACUACUUGCCAGCGUGAGGGAGGGAUUCGCAAUCUGGAUGUUUGUAGUUUUAAAAAUAUGUCUCUAUUUAGCUGAUUUGGGCGGCUGAACAGGGCUGGUUAUGGAAAUCAGACCAACAGGCUGUCACACUAGGGUGU